Long non-coding RNA from Astatotilapia calliptera (eastern happy), 1261 nucleotides. Lineage: Eukaryota; Metazoa; Chordata; Actinopteri; Cichliformes; Cichlidae. The record is from Ensembl.
UCCUGCUGUCACAUCAAAAAGCUUCACUUUGGUCCAACAUCUACAUGUUAACAUGAAACACAGACAGACUCAGAACAUCUGGAACAUCUGCACUUUGACCCAAACUGUUAUAGCAGGAUAUUUUCUGCAUAUUUCUUAUGUUGGACCUGUUUGAACUGUAAACGACCUGUAAUCAUCUGUAAAUGGUGUGAGACACACUGAGGCCACCUACAGGGCAGCUGGGGAACAGCAGGGAUCUGAAAUCAUACGAGACGUUAGUGAGUGAGAAGAACAAACGGACUUAAGAUGGCUCGAAGUGAUCAAAGUUGAUCUAAAACAGAAGAUAAAUCCACUGAUUCUUUGUAAAGUUCAUCUGCUGCUCACAUGAAUCCAUGAAAGAUUUAUUUCACUGAAUGUUUCUUCAAAGCUCAUUUCAACCUGUUGAAGUCAUGAAUGAAAGUGCAGACUGAGAGUGGAUCACAUGAUGUUUGAGGUGUGUCAUGUGACAUGUUCAGUAUUGUCACACAUGUCUAGAUUGUCCCUGAUAUCAUAACUGCUCAAACACUGAUGAUUAUAUUUGAAGAAUUAUUCCUGAUGGCAGCAAAGUUUGAAUGGAGCUCUCUGUCUGUGCUGAUUUGUCGCCCUCUGGAGGUCAAAGCACAAACCUACAGGGCAGCUGGGGAACAGCAGGGAUCUGAAAUCAUACGAGAUGUUAGUGAGAAGUUAGAACAAACGGACUUAAGAUGGCUCGAAGUGAUCAAAUUGGUCUAAAACAGAAGAUAAAUCCAAAGCAGCAUCAGAUGAAUGUUACCAUUUCCAGUUACGGUGCCCUUCAUCUAAUAUGGAAAUGUGUUGUUUUUUUUUGCCGUGUUGUUGUUCUUCCUAUUGUGUUUAGGCCAGAGAUGCUCUUCAAACAGCGGACAGACAUGACCACAUUACAAGAACAUGGUGUGAGUCCGAUUUGAUAUUCCAGUCAACGCUGAGAGACCUUAACCAGGAAGUCAGAGGUCAGCUGAUGCUGCGAGCAGGAAGUGAACCAAGGGAAAGGUCCACUCUACUCAAUCUCAAAGAAAAUAUGCUGACGGACAGGGAAUCAGUUGCUGUACGAUGACAUCAUCUUGAUGUUGACGAGGAGGGCGAGAAAAACUAGUUUUGUCCUGCAGAUGGCGAUCUUGCACCGUGUUCAGAGAGCCGACACUUUGAUGGUGCUGCUCUACUCAGCUUACUUUAGCCUGGGUUGGACUCUAUAUGAGCAGCUUCCACUCUGGUUUCACUCUUAAAC